CCUACGGGAGGCAGCAGUGAGGAAUAUUGGUCAAUGGCCGCAAGGCUGAACCAGCCAUGCCGCGUGAAGGUCAGUGGCCUUUGGGCGUUAAACUUCUUUUGUGCGGGAGCAAUAAUGGUCACGUGUGGCCAGACGAGAGUACCGUACGAAUAAGCAUCGGCUAACUACGUGCCAGCAGCCGCGGUAAUACGGGGGAUGCAAGCGUUAUCCCGGUUUUUUUGGUUUAAAGGGUGCGGCGGAGGGGAGGUAAGUCAGCGGUGAAAUGCCCCCGCUUAACGGGGUGAAGUGCAGUUGAUACUGGCUUGCUUGAAUGCGGACGCGGUGGGAGGAAUGUGUGGUGUAGCGGUGAAAUGCAUAGAUAUCACACAGAACACCGAUUGCGAAGGCAUCUCUCGAAUCCGCGAUUGACGCUGAUGCACGAAAGCGUGGGUAUCAAACAGGAUUAGAUACCCGAGUAGUC
This 460-nucleotide ribosomal RNA is filed under the name uncultured bacterium. Its description in RNAcentral is "partial 16S ribosomal RNA". It matches the Rfam family "Bacterial small subunit ribosomal RNA", at positions 338 to 795 of the family's 1533-position model. The record is from RNAcentral.